CUAUCUCAGAUUCUCAGCUGAAUCUCCCCCCGAAAUAUCUAUGUAUAAUAGUAAUUCACUACAAGAAAAAGAUUUUUUGACGACCAACCAUGUUGGUUGCCCCGAUCGUCGCAAGAAACCUCGUAGUUAAUUACAUAUAGCUGAUCAAUUCAACUUUUGGAUUGGAGUUUGUCGUCUUUGUUACCUAAGGACGACCAACCUGGAUCGUUGGUCUCAAACUUUGGUUCAUCUUCAAUGUCGAUUGUAAUUGACCAUCAACCUGGUUGGUAUCAAACUUCGGUUCAUCUUCAACGUCCACUAACACUAACCCUAUAAUUAAAGUGAUCCAUGAUUUGACAAAAUGGAUAAAUUGAAAGUGGACGCAUUGAAUCACGUCUAGGUCAUUUGUCGUCCUGAAUCUUAUGGUGAGGAAAGACAAAUCAUCUUAAGAUUCAAAUGAUGUGUCUUUUUAACUUUGAUGUUGUGCCCCAAUUGUCUGGAAUAAAAGCAUUUCCUAGCCAAUGGGAACCCAACAUGUAUAUAACACGUCAAAACAGGUGGCUGCAUGGCUGGUAUUGAUCGAGAGCUGACAGCUGGAAAGGCACGUGGAGUGCAACAAUAUGAUAGCAUGUAUUAUAAAUAGUAGGAAUUAGUAAUGUAAUGGGGGGGGACACACGAUUGUAAAAUGUUAGCACAACAUUUGGCGACUCCGCUGGGGACCUCUCGUCUUUGCUCCGACACAGAAGGAUAGCACCCACCUUGGUCCCAUCUCCGACAGCGCAAGUAGGAUUUCUUGUUCUAACCCUCUACGCGAAUCUCUUCCUAAUCUUCCAGUUCUUCUCUUCAACCUUCUCAACGCAU
This 840-nucleotide long non-coding RNA is filed under the name Zostera marina. RNAcentral's name for it is "long non-coding RNA (ZMAR_LNC004146)". The record is from RNAcentral. Lineage: Eukaryota; Viridiplantae; Streptophyta; Magnoliopsida; Alismatales; Zosteraceae.